This 484-nucleotide ribosomal RNA is filed under the name uncultured bacterium. RNAcentral's name for it is "partial 16S ribosomal RNA". It matches the Rfam family "Bacterial small subunit ribosomal RNA", at positions 30 to 507 of the family's 1533-position model. The record is from RNAcentral.
AUUGAACGCUGGCGGCAGGCCUAACACAUGCAAGUCGAGCGGAUGAAGGGAGCUUGCUCCUGGAUUCAGCGGCGGACGGGUGAGUAAUGCCUGGGAAUCUGCCUGGUAGUGGGGGAUAACGUCCGGAAACGGGCGUUAAUACCGCAUACGUCCUGAGGGAGAAAGUGGGGGAUCUUCGGACCUCACGCUAUCAGAUGAGCCUAGGUCGGAUUAGCUAGUUGGUGGGGUAAAGGCCUACCAAGGCGACGAUCCGUAACUGGUCUGAGAGGAUGAUCAGUCACACUGGAACUGAGACACGGUCCAGACUCCUACGGGAGGCAGCAGUGGGGAAUAUUGGACAAAGGGCGAAAGCCUGAUCCAGCCAUGCCGCGUGUGUGAAGAAGGUCUUCGGAUUGUAAAGCACUUUAAGUUGGGAGGAAGGGCAGUAAGUUAAUACCUUGCUGUUUUGACGUUACCAACAGAAUAAGCACCGGCUAACUUCGUG